This 162-nucleotide ribosomal RNA is filed under the name Lythrum portula. Its description in RNAcentral is "5.8S ribosomal RNA". It matches the Rfam family "5.8S ribosomal RNA". From Rfam's summary of the family: 5.8S ribosomal RNA (5.8S rRNA) is a component of the large subunit of the eukaryotic ribosome. It is transcribed by RNA polymerase I as part of the 45S precursor that also contains 18S and 28S rRNA. Lineage: Eukaryota; Viridiplantae; Streptophyta; Magnoliopsida; Myrtales; Lythraceae. The record is from RNAcentral.
CAACGACUCUCGGCAACGGAUAUCUCGGCUCUCGCAUCGAUGAAGAACGUAGCGAAAUGCGAUACUUGGUGUGAAUUGCAGAAUCCCGUGAACCAUCGAGUCUUUGAACGCAAGUUGCGCCCAAAGCUUCGGCUGAGGGCACGUCUGCCUGGGUGUCACGCA